This is a long non-coding RNA of Carassius auratus (goldfish), 1355 nucleotides long. RefSeq lists it as uncharacterized. NCBI's taxonomy places the organism in Eukaryota, Metazoa, Chordata, Actinopteri, Cypriniformes, Cyprinidae. The record is from RefSeq and is a predicted model, not a curated record. The transcript has 3 exons.
AAAGACACGCACACUGCACAUGUUUACAGAAGCUGGAGAUGAUUGGUCUCUUACACAUUUGCUGCCAUACAUUUAACAAGAAGCUAAGAUAGCUGAGACCCCUCUCACUGAAGACAUCCUUGAGGAAGACCAUGUCCUCUUUGUGAUUGGCAUCUGGACGCAGCUGUGAGGUCAGCAGGGCAAGCGUCUCAUGCAACCCUACAUGCGGACAGGAGAUCAUCCCUGACGAUGCACCAGGACACACCAGGAGUCGGUGACUUACCUUUCCUCCAAUCUUCUACAGUCAUUGUUUUUGGAGUGAGGAGAAAUCAAGCCCAUAUACGGGAUACCACAAACACAACAAAGUGACCACAAAUACGUGCACAAACACACACACACACACACAAAGAGGUUUGUUUAUGAGCAAACCAAUCACAAAACUUGUACAUCCAUUAUGAUAAAAUUAUGAUUUCAAACAUUAAAGUUAUUAAAUCUGUAGUACUUUGUACUACUGUUAGCUUUCUGCUAACCACAAAAGCAGUUGUUUCAUUAAUGCAAUAGACUUCCUUAAUAUGUGGCCUUGUCAUGACUACAACUGCUCAUAAUGGACUUCAGUCAUUCAGUCAAGUAAUUCAUCAGAGAAAAUUAGAAUAAUCCAAUCGUUGGAUCAAUUAGGAGUAUUGUAGUUCAGUUUGGCAAGCAGAGUAAAUUUGGAAAUGGACAAGGGAUUGAUUGAACAAUAUAUUUAGUAUUUGUUAGUGGUGGCAGAUGAUACUAUUGUUAGUGUAAAUAUGAGAUACAUGCAGGAUUAAUGGAAGAAUUUUUUGUAACUUACAGUGGGGCAAUUCUUAGAAUGAUAUAAAAAAAGAGGUAUAAUUAUUAGUAAUAUAUAAUAUAUUAUAUGCCAUAUAGUAUAUAAAUAAUAUAAUUUUAGACUACUGCAAAUGUUGGGGGUCAGUUAGAUUUUUAAUGGUUUUUGAAAAAACUCUUGUUUACCAUUUAUUUGAUGAUAAAAUACAGUAAAAAAUAAAAAAAAAUAUUGUGAAAAAAAUACAAUUUAAAAUAACUUUAUAUUUAAAAGUUUAAUUUAUUGAUGACAAAUUAGAAUUUUCAAUCUUUAGUGUCAAUUUAUCUAAUAUGCUGAUUUGUUGCUAAUAAACUUUUGUUAUCAAGGUUGAAAACAGUUGGAACUUGACCCCAGAUUGAACAGUAGUGCUUGUGCAUCCUUAAAGUAUCUUACAGUAACUUAAUUUUACAAUUAUUUAUUAUUCAGUGAAAAAGGUCCACAAAUAAGCUUGUCUUUGAAUUGAUACAAACCCCACUGUAAGUUAAAGAUAAGUGUGACUGCUCUAAGAAUCAAAUGGUUUAACUGGUUU